RNAcentral lists this ribosomal RNA (443 nucleotides) under uncultured bacterium. RNAcentral's name for it is "partial 16S ribosomal RNA". It matches the Rfam family "Bacterial small subunit ribosomal RNA", at positions 338 to 795 of the family's 1533-position model. The record is from RNAcentral.
CCUACGGGGGGCAGCAGUGGGGAAUAUUGGGCAAUGGAGGCAACUCUGACCCAGCAACGCCGCGUGAAUGAUGAAGGCCUUCGGGUUGUAAAGUUCUUUUCUACGGGAAGAAGAUAGUGACGGUACCUUAGGAAUAAGCCUCGGCUAACUACGUGCCAGCAGCCGCGGUAAUACGUGGGAGGCAAGCGUUAUCCGGAAUGACUGGGCGUAAAGGGUGCGUAGGUGGUUUGACAAGGUAGUGGCGCAACUCCGGGGUUCAACUUCGGAACUACCACUAAAACUGGUGGACUUGAGUGCAGGAGGGGCAAGCGGAAUGCGUAGUGUAGCGGUGGAAUGCGUAGAUAUUAGGAGGAACACCAGUGGCGAAGGCGGAUUGCUAGACCGUAACUGACACUGAGGCACGAAAGCGUGGGGAGCAAACAGGAUUAGAUACCCGGGUAGUC